Molecule: long non-coding RNA, 220 nt
Organism: Helianthus annuus (common sunflower)
Lineage: Eukaryota; Viridiplantae; Streptophyta; Magnoliopsida; Asterales; Asteraceae
Exons: 3
Source: RefSeq, a predicted model, not a curated record
AAGCAAAGCAGCAUGCCAUCUGAACUCAUGGACUCACCGCCUUCUGAACUUCCUCCUAAUGAGAGACAGGUUGGCUUCUGGAAGACAGAUGUUGACAACAACUAUGGUGUAAAAGAUGGUCAAGUAUAUGUAGUUGGUGGCACCUCACUUGAGUCAUUGCCCAUGGAGAAACACAAGAUGUCAUCUGAUUCUCAUAAAGUGAACCACUUUGAUGCCCCUA